This 253-nucleotide ribosomal RNA is filed under the name uncultured bacterium. RNAcentral's name for it is "partial 16S ribosomal RNA". It matches the Rfam family "Bacterial small subunit ribosomal RNA", at positions 524 to 776 of the family's 1533-position model. The record is from RNAcentral.
UACGUAGGGUGCAAGCGUUGUCCGGAAUUAUUGGGCGUAAAGAGCUCGUAGGCGGUCUGUCGCGUCUGCUGUGAAAACCUAGGGCUUAACUCUGGGCGUGCAGUGGGUACGGGCAGGCUAGAGUGCGGUAGGGGAGACUGGAAUUCCUGGUGUAGCGGUGAGAUGCGCAGAUAUCAGGAGGAACACCGGUGGCGAAGGCGGGUCUCUGGGCCGAUACUGACGCUGAGGAGCGAAAGCGUGGGGAGCGAACAGG